This 810-nucleotide long non-coding RNA is filed under the name Homo sapiens (human). RNAcentral describes it as "HSALNT0293155". The record is from RNAcentral. Lineage: Eukaryota; Metazoa; Chordata; Mammalia; Primates; Hominidae.
UGGUAAUCCAAUGUAUAAGCAAUGGACUGUUUUAUUCUUGGUGCUUUCAAGACCUGAUGCUUUGUUUUGAACAGGUUGAUACAUCUAGGAGUGAAAUACAUCACCGCUUUCCCUGCUCCCGCCGCCAUUAAAAUUGUGUUUGGCAUCUGACCACCAAGAUACAGAUAUUUCCUAGACUGUUUUGCAGCUAGGUACUUAGAAGUUUUUCUAAGUUAUUUAAACUUCUCACCACACAAAAUCUGGAUUUGUAUCUGUCACGUAGUAAUUGCUUGAUAAAUCAUUUCUCUUUCCUCUGGAGAAAAAUAUCUGCUUUCUUUAAAAUAAAUGUUCCAUCCAUGCAGCUAAGCAGCUAAGGACACGAACAGCCACUGAUACAGGCCAACUCAUCAGUAGAUUAUUGAGAUUUCAUACUAGGACCUUUCAUUGGCUGAACAAAGACAAAGACAGAAAUCAAGGAAGGUCAAAGAAGCAGUCAGUUUUCUGGCACCCAAAGUUGUUGGAGAAGGGUACAGAGUCGGUAAAUAAGUCAUAUGACAGACAGGCAGUAUUUUCUUAUUUUAAUAACAAGUUUAAAAAUCCCACUUCUUGUACUUACCUUCUGUCUGACGUCAUCAGUAUUUUAAAAUGCCAACUGGGAUCAAGUUCAACACUGCAUUACUGAAGAAUCCAGAUUAUCUACAUUUCAAGUGCCAAAUGAAAGAAAGAACCCAGAAAAUAAAACAAUAUGAUGAUAACAGUAAAAUUUUUUAAAAUGAAAUUUAUGGUCUAAAUCCUGAUCAUUAAUGGUUAUUUCAUAUUGAAGCAAUGAGG